Molecule: ribosomal RNA, 499 nt
Filed under: uncultured bacterium
Lineage: Bacteria
Description: bacterial SSU rRNA
Rfam family: Bacterial small subunit ribosomal RNA
Source: RNAcentral
GAUCAUGGCUCAGAUUGAACGCUGGCGGCAUGCCUUACACAUGCAAGUCGAACGGCAGCACGGGAGCUUGCUCCUGGUGGCGAGUGGCGAACGGGUGAGUAAUACAUCGGAACGUACCCUGAAGUGGGGGAUAACGUAGCGAAAGUUACGCUAAUACCGCAUAUUCUGUGAGCAGGAAAGAGGGGGAUCGCAAGACCUCUUGCUUUAGGAGCGGCCGAUGUCGGAUUAGCUAGUUGGUGAGGUAAAGGCUCACCAAGGCGACGAUCCGUAGCGGGUCUGAGAGGAUGAUCCGCCACACUGGGACUGAGACACGGCCCAGACUCCUACGGGAGGCAGCAGUGGGGAAUUUUGGACAAUGGGCGCAAGCCUGAUCCAGCCAUGCCGCGUGAGUGAAGAAGGCCUUCGGGUUGUAGAGCUCUUUCGGUGGGGAAGAAAUUGCUUCGGUUAAUACCUGGAGUAGAUGACGGUACCCGCAUAAGAAGCACCGGCUAACUACGUG